This 2955-nucleotide unclassified non-coding RNA is filed under the name Hevea brasiliensis (rubber tree). The record is from RNAcentral. Lineage: Eukaryota; Viridiplantae; Streptophyta; Magnoliopsida; Malpighiales; Euphorbiaceae.
GAAAAUUACAGGAUGAUAUUGAUUACAAAUAUUACAAAUUUUAGUCCAAGAAAAAGAAGAUAUUACAAUAAAAAUAAAGAAAACUCAGUCUAGAAAAAAAUAAUUAUCACUUUAUAUAUAAUUUCAAGGGAAAAUAAUAACUAAUAUAUUCCAUUCAACAAACCAAACAAAUGGCAUAAUGUUCUCAUCAACUGCCAGACUGAUAAAAUGCAAAGCGAUUACUAAACCCAAAACCAUCUUCUUUUGAAAAGAUGAAAAGACUUCUAUAAAAUACAAUGCAUGUCCCUGACUCUCCUUUUAACUUCGAGAUACAUCACAACUCUUACCUAAAUUCUAAUCAGAAUCUGGAUCAGCAUCCACAAUAUCUGGCAAAGACUCUGCUGAUGAGUCAUGAUCUGAUUCAGAACCAAAUACUGUUUCUUUUAGAGCACUAGCUGUUGUAUUUUUGCUUCCUACUGUGGAGGCAAUUUCACUACCUCUAUCUACCAUGCCAGCCUCAACUGGUGCAGUUUCCUUAUCUGUAGAAACUAAUGCACCAGUGCCUGAAGCUACCCUUGUUAAUUCCAGUUCAGGAAUUUUAGGAUCAUCAAGGACUACAGAAACGGUGGCAUCUUUAAGAGAUGUGAAACCCUGAAGCUGCAAUAUGGGUUCUUGAACUUGCUGUGAUUCGACAAUUAUUUCAUCACCAAAGUUUCCCAUCUCUACAUCUGCAUUAGCUACUGCUGGCUCGUCCUUACUUUGCCCAGGACUUUUUGUAGCCAUUGAACCUGCUUGAACUCCCAAGUUUUCAGAAGGCAUUUUGCUGUUUAUAUUUUUACCUGGGCCAUCUGCUGGAGUGUCUGUUUCUUUGCAACUGCCUAGCCAUCUCUCAAAAGUAACGUCAUCUGAAUCAGAAGAUCUAUGCCCUAUUUCCUGUAAUCCACCGUUAACUUCAUGGGAAGAUUUUUCAGAGGAAAAACCUGCCAGUGGCAGGGCCCGAGGAUGUAUAAGUACCUCCAACACCAAAAGUGCAUAGGAACAUAGUUCAGAAAGUUUUGUUCCAGUUUCUUGCCUUCCUCUACGAUAAAGCUCAAGACUCUGUGCUAAAUGUGGAGGACGCACACAAGAUGGUGACAGAAGAGACGCCAAGAGUGUACGCAAUAUUGCAAGCUGCAAAUCUGCAUGUGUGGAGGUCGACCCAUUAGGCAAGAAUGAGUUGCUUUCCUCGUUAGCCCAUCCCCCUUUACAACAAUCUGCUGCCAUAUUUAUUAAAAGAUUAUCAACUUUUGACAGCUUGGAAUCAGACCUCAAAGCACCACCCACAGUUAGAAGAGCUUCUAAUGCCUCAAGUGCUGCUAUCUUCACAGCUAUCAUAGUUGUGGGGUGACUCUUGGAUGCUUCUACAUCCAAACUAAUUGCAUCAUACUUUUGCUCUAGAGAUCCACUUGCUCCACGCUUCCUUUUUCUACGGCAAGGCUGCAGCAAUGCUUCAGAAGGGGCCAUUGGGUUUGCACUAGAAGAUGCAUCAUCACCAUUAAGAUUUAAGUCAAGAAGUGCAUUGUUGACAACUUCCUGGGCCAGAUAUAUUGCUAUUCCAACACCCACGGAUAUCAGCAACAUCUUUAUGAUCGAGUAUAUUUUUGUCCUUAAUUCUGACAAUUUACAUCUCCUAAAAUACUCUUUAACAAGUCGCACAACAUAAGCAGCAUGUGGCAAUAGUUGACUGCGUAUUCCCUUUACAACUGAAGUAAGAAGGUCCAAAGUGUAUGAAUGCAGAACUGGAAGUUCAGUACAAAUGAACUCUUGUUCCGAUGCAAUCACAAAGGGAGACAUGGCAUGUGGCAAGGAGCCAUCAACCAUCAACACUCUCUCAAUUAGGGCCAAAAAUGAGCGAACAGGUACUGUCACCUGGACUGGAUAUGAAGUUGUAAGCAUUGUACAACAACUAUGCAUCAAUGCAGAGACACUUGAUAGCUUAGAUCUCUUUCUUGCCCUGUCUGAUGUCUCUUCUAACAAAUUCUGACCCCAUAAAGAAGUUGGGGUAAUCUCUCCAGGUGGAACCAAUAAUCUAACAGCUUCAUCCCAUUUAGUUUCUUCUUCUAGACCAUGGAAGAUUUCAGUCAGGUAACCAUUUACCAAUAAUAGAAUCUUCCGCAUCAUUGAAAGCCAACUAUCAUCAUCUCCUCUUGAUUUAGGAAGUAAUGCUAGACAAUAGGCAAGCUUCUUAAGCAUAUUAAUACUGCAUUUUCCUGACAAAAUUUUUGAUGCAAUAACAGCUUCAACACUGUCAUAAUGACGAUGAAGAGAAGCUGGAAAGAAAGUUAUAACAGUGCGUAACAGAUGAAGUGCUCCUUCCCACACAUUCUCUGAACUAUCCUCUUGCAACAGCCUCAGAACAGGUUGAAUGAGUUUUCCAGCAUGGGAAGUUCCAUUCUUCUUGGCAUUAGGAAAUCCAGCUAACCUUGUCAUCAAAUCAGAUAUUGAGGUACAAGAAGCCACCUUUACAAACUGAGAAUCUGCUGGUGACUGAAUGUGUAAUAAAAGUUUGUCAAACCAUACAGCAUAUGAUGCCAGAAAGCGUUCAGAGCUGCAUUCUUGAGAAGUCACCCCCAGCAAACAGAUUGCUGCCCAACAUUUAUCUGGCAUGGUAGAGCUCGAGACCAGAAAUAAUAAUCGAUUGAGCCAAUCAUCAACGGCAGACUUCCAGCGUUCAAUUAGCUUAUCAUCCAUGGAACCGGUGAUGGAUUCAGCUAAAAGCUUGAAAGUUUGAAUAGUGGAGACAACCCUUGACAGCUUCAAUGGUGUGCCUAGUGGCUUCUUCUCGUCUGGGACAUCUUCCUUCAAUAAUGCACGGAGCAUACGAGGCUUCAGAGCAACAUCAUACAUAUCCUUCAAGUUCUCCAAGGCGGCCAUUGUAUUGUAGCAGGGAGUAAAAAAACCUCCGAACAAGAGAGGGCAGUGUUUGAUAAGGGUUUC